CCCAGUUUGGUAGGGUCUGUAAGCUUAGACUGUUAAUUAGUCUUGCUUUAUUUCGAUGUUUGCUAGCGUUAGACAUUUAAUUAGUCGGCCCGAGGGAGCCCGCUGGCCCGUGGUUAUUCUUAAGAUUACUCUUGUUUAAUUAACUCACGCUGAGCGUCGGAUAGAACCCAAAUACAUCAAACUAUCAGAAACGAAGGAGUGUAUUUCCAAUAUUGCCCCGAAAAUUCCCAAUUUCAGAAACGAAGGGGAAGAAAAAUCUGCUCAACCCUUCGCCAGAAAACAUAAACGAAAAAGGGAAAGGGCCGCCGUCUCCUACAGAUUGCUGGGCUGCGAAUCCAUGCCUCUCGCCGUCUUCAAGAAUUGAUUUUUGUGAACUUCGAUUAUCUUCGACAGUCGUUGCUUCACAAAUCGAGUCCCUCCAUACGCCCUCAACCUCAAGAUAAGAAGGUUUGCUGCGUCGGACUCAUUGUGCUCCUUUCCGCCCACGGAUCGCGCUUAUUUUGGAUCGAAUCCAGCCCUUCGCACAUCACUCACUGCAACUGGUUCCUGCUCGAUUUUUCUGGAUAAGGCACUAACUUAAGUAAUCUGAAAUUGAUUUCUAGCUUGUAUGCAACGGUUCUAAGUGUAAUGAGUGGGACUUGAAAGAGAUGAUACUAAAAUCAGUUAGGAAGCUGGGGUUAAAAACUAGUGAAGUGCUUGUCAGCUUGUGCAGAAAAACAUAGUCUUUCCUGUUAAUUAAGUUUUCUUUUCCUUAGCCAUUCUGAACUUCUCACUUCUACUGCCUUAUUUUGGGCAUAGAGGGAGUAGAGAGAAUAAGGUGGAGACUAUAAGAAUGGUUGUAAGUUUACUUUGAGCCCAAUUCAAGAAGUAAAGGCUAAAACCUAAAGCAUGAUAAGCAAUUAGAUAAUUGUUGUGGGUUAAAAAGCGCGCCUAGGUUCGGGCUUUAGUCAAAGCGCAGGGUCUGGGGCUUUCGUAUUGCUAGGCGCAUGCACCUACAAGAGGCGCUAUUUCACUUUUCA
Salvia miltiorrhiza (redroot sage) is the source of this 1019-nucleotide long non-coding RNA. RefSeq lists it as uncharacterized. The transcript is spliced from 3 exons. The record is from RefSeq and is a predicted model, not a curated record. NCBI's taxonomy places the organism in Eukaryota, Viridiplantae, Streptophyta, Magnoliopsida, Lamiales, Lamiaceae.